This 268-nucleotide long non-coding RNA is filed under the name Sarcophilus harrisii (Tasmanian devil). RNAcentral's name for it is "lncRNA (ENSSHAG00000024525.1)". The record is from RNAcentral. Lineage: Eukaryota; Metazoa; Chordata; Mammalia; Dasyuromorphia; Dasyuridae.
AGCAGUUAGCAUGAGUUUUUUUCAACUAUCCCCAAAUGAAGACUCAAGCAAUAAGAGGAGACAAUAUACAAACGACCAUGUCUAUACAAGAUUGUUAGAGGGUAAAUAGAAGGCAAAUUCCUGAAGAAGAGGACUCUGGAAGAAGCAAGUAUGGGAAGCCAAAUCUAAAUCUGGGCCAGGUCUUUAUCAACUAUGCUAUGCUGCCUCUCAUCUUCAUCAUGCAUGAUAAAUGUGGAAAUAUAUUUAGAAGAAUGGCAUAUAUUUUGAC